AAGACCUUGCGCUUUUGGAGCGGCCGAUGCCUGAUUAGCUUGUUGGUAAGGUAAAAGCUUACCAAGGCUUCGAUCAGUAGCUGGUCUGAGAGGACGACCAGCCACACUGGGACUGAGACACGGCCCAGACUCCUACGGGAGGCAGCAGUGGGGAAUUUUGGACAAUGGGGGCAACCCUGAUCCAGCCAUGCCGCGUGAGUGAAAAAGGCCUUCGGGUUGUAAAGCUCUUUCAGCCGGAACGAAACGGUUACGGAUAACACCCGUGACUACUGACGGUACCGGAAGAAGAAGCACCGGCUAACUACGUGCCAGCAGCCGCGGUAAUACGUAGGGUGCGAGCGUUAAUCGGAAUUACUGGGCGUAAAGCGUGCGCAGGUGGUUUUGUAAGUCAGAUGUGAAAGCCCCGGGCUCAACCUGGGAACU
Molecule: ribosomal RNA, 423 nt
Filed under: uncultured bacterium
Lineage: Bacteria
Description: bacterial SSU rRNA
Rfam family: Bacterial small subunit ribosomal RNA
Source: RNAcentral